RNAcentral lists this ribosomal RNA (396 nucleotides) under uncultured bacterium. Its description in RNAcentral is "partial 16S ribosomal RNA". It matches the Rfam family "Bacterial small subunit ribosomal RNA", at positions 360 to 773 of the family's 1533-position model. The record is from RNAcentral.
AAUAUUGCGCAAUGGGCGAAAGCCUGACGCAGCCAUGCCGCGUGAAUGAUGAAGGGCAAAGGAUUGUAAAAUUCUUUCACCGGGGAAGAUAAUGACGGUACCCGGAGAAGAAGACCCGGCUAACUUCGUGCCAGCAGCCGCGGUAAUACGAAGGGGGCUAGCGUUGCUCGGAAUUACUGGGCGUAAAGGGCGCGUAGGCGGACAUUUAAGUCAGGGGUGUAAACCCCGAGCUCAACUCUGGAACUGCCUUUGAUACUGGGGGUCUUGAGUGUGAGAGAGGUAUGUGGAACUCCGAGUGUAGGGGUGAAAUUCGUAGAUAUUCUGAAGAACACCAGUGGCGAAGGCGACAUACUGACUCAUUACUGGCGCUGAGGCGCGAAAGCGUAGGGAGCAAAC